Callithrix jacchus (white-tufted-ear marmoset) is the source of this 1778-nucleotide non-coding RNA. Lineage: Eukaryota; Metazoa; Chordata; Mammalia; Primates; Cebidae. The record is from RefSeq and is a predicted model, not a curated record.
CCUGCUGCGCUCUUGCCCCGCCCUCCGCGUCCUGGCCGGUGCGGCCUGUGACGCGCCCGCGUCUCGCGGUGGCGCCCCCUCUGCCCGUUCCUCCUGCGCCGGGCCGCGGCUGUCUGCGCCUCGCGGUGUCCCAGCCCCUCGCGCUAGCGCCGGGGCUCUGGGGCGGGCUCAGCUGUCCAGUUAACGUGCUCGUCUGCAGGAAUUCUUGGGGUCUUGUGCCUUUUUUGAGAAUACCCGUAUUGCUACUUAGGAAAGUGUCGCUUUGCGCCAGCCCUGACUCCACAAAGGAAGGGACAGCAGUGCAGACUCGCUGCUCAGCCGGGAUGAAAGUUCACGGGGUUCAGAGGGACACGCUUGGGCUGGUUCCAUCUGGGUGAAUUAAAUGACCUUCGCGUGGGCCCCAGGAACCAAGACGGGAGUCCUGGGCACUGCGGCCACUAAGGGUGGUUUCUAACAGAAACCUGAGUUUGCGAUGAGAAGGGUAUGGCCCGAGAAGUAGCUUGGGUCUCUCCAGCUAAAUAAACAAUGGUGGAAUCCGUGCUUAAGAGCUGGGCUCAGGGUGGGGCGCGGUGGCUCAGGCCUGUAGUGCCAGCACUUUGGAAGCCAGAGGCGGGAGGAUCACUUGAGGCCAGGAGUUCCAAGUUCAGCCUGGAGAACAUAGGGAGACCCAUCUCUACCAAAAAAAGAAAUAAUUUUUUUUUUUUUUUUUUAAUUAGCCAGGUAUGAUGGCGUGCCUAUAGUUUCAGCUACCAGGAGGCUGCGGUGGGAGAACUGCUUGAGCCCAGCAGGUCAAGACUGCAGUGAGCUGUCAGCCUGGGCGACAGAAUGCAUUCCUUUCAAAUCUAAACCAAACCAAAAAAAAAAGCUGGGCUCUGAAGCCAGGCUGUCUAAUGUGAUUCCAAGGCUCAGCAGAUGAAGAUGACAGUCCUACCUGAUAGGAUUGUUGGCGAGAUGAAAUGACUUAAUUUGAGCACAUGAUAAAUGUUAGUUGCCGUUAUUAUUAGAUUUGUAUUGAAAGCAUCGUCAGUAAGGUUAAGAGGUAGAAGGAAAAAAAUGAACAGGAAAUGCCAGUCAUCAGCUAAGAGGGGAUGUGCACUUCUGCUGAAAGAUGCUCUAAUGAUGCAGUUGCUAUAUACGGCACACUUUACAUAUCUCAUUCCAUCUCCACAAUACUCCUAGGAGAUAGAUAUGCACAUUUUACACAUGAAGACCACCUGCAAAAGCAUCCAGAAUUUGGCCUAAGGCUGAAUGGAGUGAGAAAGGCGUUUGGAGACCAAGAAGGGGGAGUUUAAGACUCUCCAGGUGCUGUUUUCAGAACGUGAUUUGGAGCCUCGAGGGUACUACAUGCCUGUGGAAUGGGCUGACAUGGCCCUGAUAAUCAAGGGCCAGUGUGCCCUGGCACCCUGGUGUGGUUAGACCGAGGGGUGUCCAGGAAAGUCCAUGAACACAAGGGAUGUUCCCUGAAAUAUGCCUGUACAUUGGUUGUGAACCUUUUUCCUACUGAGAUGGUGAAAUUGUGAUGUUAGAAUAUGUGUAGUCAUGAAUGAAGACCAACCAACCAACAUCAAAACAAAUCUAUGCUUUCAAAUAAAGGUUGCUUUUGAGUGGCAAUAAAGAUCUAUUUGGAAAUGCUGCAGGUUGUUCCUUGCAUUUCUAACUGUACUGUCAGCUAGUAUUUGCUCCCAUAUUUCCCCCAGAAGUCAGCCCAUAGCUCUUCCCGAGGCUUGAUAAUGCACUUUGGGACUUACUUAAGCUAUUGUUUCUGUGCUGUGACCUCA